UAAUUGAAUAGCCAUCUAGGUGCUUAGCCAUAAGCUAAGAGGGAAAGAGGUUGAAAUCCUCUGCAGCCCCCGCUACUGUAAUUAGGGAUGAAAUCCGGAAUACCACCGAUUAUCGGGAAGGUCGGAAAGUAAAGUGAACUAUAAGCCAGGAAACCUGCCUUGAUGCAAUACAACCA
RNAcentral lists this non-coding RNA (176 nucleotides) under Clostridiales bacterium. The record is from RNAcentral. Lineage: Bacteria; Bacillati; Bacillota; Clostridia; Eubacteriales.